UCAGAGGGAAAAAGACUGAGUUCGGCAAUGGCAACAGGUACCUAAUUGUUUGUCUCUCUGUCUUCUGCUUUUUCUUUUGGCUCCCAAGCACUGUGUUGGCUAGAAAGCCUCUGGUCUGGUGCGGUCGAUUGCGGUGGGCAGAUGUGUUUUAAGACCUUGACCGUGGGGAGUAGAGGAUGCCUCAGGCCCCCUGGAGGGAGUCAGGAGGACUCUGCUCCUUUUGGAAACACCGGGAGCCAUGAACUGUGUGUAUAACCCGAUUUCUGUGCCUGAGGCAGGGGUAAACUGUCUGUGUGUUGAUUGCUUUUCUCUGUGUUCUUGGACUUAGACUGUGUGUGUCCAUGGCAAGGGCCAAUUGUCUGUGGGUUGAUUGUCUUUCUCUGUGUUUAUUGUUGUUGGUUUUCUCAGGGGCUGAUUAAUCUCUUUGAGAUUGUUUUAUUGACUCAUCAGCCCACCCAGGAUGAUACCCAACAACUCCUGAGAGUGUUCUUCAUGACCAAAAAGUGAGAGAGGAUAAUGCAGAAAGCCAGAAAGUACGUCCCCUCAGACACAGGGGCACAAUCAAUUGACCAGCCUGUCAUCAACCCGGGAUGAUAUCCAAUAACUCAAGAGAGUGUUCUUCAUGACUGAAGAGUGAGAGAGGAAGCCAGAAAGUACGUCCCCUCAGACACAGGGGCACAAGCAAUUGAUCAGGCUGUCAUCAACAGCGGGGUCUUCCCCUGACUAGACCUGACUGGGAUUUUAAUACGUCAGAAGGUGAGGGGUACCUGAAGGUCUACCACCAGGCUCCAUUGGCAGGUCUCAAGGAGGCCGCAGGACGACCCACACAUUUGGCAAAGGUAUGUGAAGUUAGACAGGGAUCAGAUGAGUCACCUGCUGCCUUUCUAGGGCAACUCAUGGAGGCAUUCUGUCAAUAUACACCCUAUGACCCCAAGCUACCGUGACUAUGGCUUUUAUAGACCAGGCUAGUAGAGAUAUCAGGAAAAAGCUUCAGAGGCUAGAGGGACUACAGCAUAAGUUGUUGAUGGGUUUAGUAUAGGUUGCUGAGAAAGUCUACCAUAACAUGGAGACAGAGGAGGAGAAAGAGCAAAGAAAGAAAAAGGAAGAGGAUGAAAGGGAGAUGAAUUAAAAAAAAAAAAACGCAACAGAAUAGGAAUUUGUAGAGAAUCUUGGCUACAAUGGUUAGGGAAAGCAGAGAAGAGAGAUUCCAACCAGAGAGAGUCAGGAAAGGGCCAGUGUGGAUAUUGCAAGGAGAGGGGCCACUGGGCCUGAGAGUGCCCCCAACAAAUGGAAGUUGGGGGCAGGAAAUUCCAGGCCUUGGGAAAAGCGCCCCCAAACAUCUAAAGUGUUAGCCCUGGGGGAAGACAGUGAUUAGGGAAGACAGGCUUUGGACCCCCCUUCCUGAGCCCAGGGUAACUCAGUGUGGAAGGGAGAGCCACCCAAUUCUUGGUGGACAGAGGUGCUCAAUACUCGGUCCUUCUCCAAGCCAAUGGCCCUGUUUCCAAGAAAAAAAAUCUCGGGUCCAAGGAACCACUGGCACCAAAAUGUAUUCAUGGAUUACCUGAAGAACAGUAGACCUAGGGAUGGGCUGGGUAUCCCAUUCAUUUACGUUCAUCCCAGACUGUCCCUACCCUCUGUUGGGGCGAGACUUACUCUCCAAGAUGGGGGCCCAGAUACACUUCCUGCCUGCUGGGCUGCAACUAACUGGCCCAAAAGGAGAACCCACGGGUGGAGGAGAGACCUCUCCUACUGACCCCUACUGGGAGCUGAGGCUACCUGCUGAACAGACAGGAGCAGUUUUCUCUCCAUGAAGGUCAGAGACAAGUGGGUGCUGUUGUGGUGAAUGGCACAAAUGUCAUCUGGGCUGAACCUCUAUCCCCUGUCCCCCAACCCCCAGCACAUCAGCACAGAAAGCGGAGCUAAUUGCCCUCACCAAAGCCUUGGAACUUGGGGCCGGCAAGAAAAAUAACAUCUACACGGUAGCAGGUAUGCCUUUGCCAUAGCCCAUGUCCAUGGGGCUAUAUACCAAGAGAGAGGAUGGCUCAUAUCAGAGGGAAAAGAAAUAAAAAAACAAGCAGAAGAUCUUGGAUCUUUUGGAUGCCCUGAUGAAGCUGGCAACUGUACCUCAGAGGUUCCACAUUAGUACCAUGUUGGAGACUGGGUAUAUAUUAAGAGACAUCAUGUUGAAAACUUGGAAGCAAAGUGGAAAGGGCCGUUCCUAGUGUUGUUGACCACCCUGACCUCCGUUAAAGUGGAUGGAUUAACUGCCUGGGUUCAUGUAACUCAUGUCAGACUAGCACCUGUGCCUGAUGUCAACUGGAUAGCAGCCAGACACCUGAGCAACCCCCUUAAGCUCAAGAUCACCUGCCCUUCUGCAAGGCCAGAGAAACCAUGAGAUGGCUAUGGUGUAUCUUCCGGAGCUGAGCCUCAGCAACCCCCACACCUCUACCAAUGUGAUUUGGCAAGUAUUGUCAGCCACUGGGGAUGUAGCUAGGUCCACUACAGAGGAGCACCCACCUUAUAUCUGGUGGCGGGACCUUGUCUUUGAUCUCUGUAAGUUAGCAGUGGACAUUAACUCCUAGGAUAUCCCCACCCUAGAGACACAGGGGGAGGGACUACCUGAAUGUAGGGGACGAGGGACUUGUGAAUCUAAACCAUGUCCCAGAAGCGGCCUUGGAGGGCAGGGCUUAGGGUGCGGACACCCAAAGUUGAGGAGUAACCCCCAUAUAUGUAUGCCCCUGAGGUGGGAGAAGCCAGCAGCAGGCCCAUCAGUGUUGGGGGACCAAUCACUUUUUCUGUGCUACCUGGGGGUGUGAAACAUCGGGAAGCACAUACUGGAGACCAUUCCAGGGGUCAAGAUUCAAUGGCCAAGGUGAGAGAAGGGCUAGCCAAGCAGAAGAGAGGAAGAGAACAGAGUCGGGGCUGGUUCGAGUCUUGGUUUAACUCCUCCCCUUGGUUAACCACCCUCAUAUCCACCUUGUUAGGGCCCUUAAUUGUUCUCCUGCUAUUGUUGACAUUUGAACCCUGCAUAUUGAACAAGCUUAUAUAGCCUUCAUAAAAGGGAGAAUAGGAGCAGUGUAGCUGAUGGUCCUGCACCAACAAUAUGAGUUACUUACCCAAGACCCUUGAGUGUAGCUCCAGAAUUGGAGCUUGUACAAGAAAAGGGUGAAUGAGGGACCCUAAGGGGUUGUGCAGUCCCACACCCUCCCUAAAGCUUCCUUCUCCCAUCUGGCAUCAAGGCUAGGCCAAGUUCCAUCCUCCACCCACAAGAACAUUCUUGAGUAAAAAGUUCUCAGAAGAUACAGAUAGUCAUCUGACCCUCUGGAAAGUCCCAGGUAGGGUUCAAAUGUGUGUCCUGCUUGCUAGCCAAUAGAUUUAAAGGUCAAUAUGCUUAGCCAAUAGUUUGAACUAUAACCUUGCUGAUGUCACCUGUGUCCCUAAAAAGUAUAAAAACUGCUUGUAAUACCUAUUUGGGGUCACCUUGUCACUCACCUUGAGGGACUGAGUGAGGGUUGACCCUAACACACAGGAAAAUAAACCUCUUGCUUUUGCAUCGA
This is a long non-coding RNA of Mastomys coucha (southern multimammate mouse), 3557 nucleotides long. RefSeq lists it as uncharacterized. The transcript is spliced from 2 exons. The record is from RefSeq and is a predicted model, not a curated record. Lineage: Eukaryota; Metazoa; Chordata; Mammalia; Rodentia; Muridae.